This is a non-coding RNA of Pimephales promelas (fathead minnow), 914 nucleotides long. The record is from RefSeq and is a predicted model, not a curated record. Lineage: Eukaryota; Metazoa; Chordata; Actinopteri; Cypriniformes; Leuciscidae.
GCAUAGUAAAACAUAUCUGCAACAUUUAUCAAGUUCACGGAUAAUUGUGCGUGCAUUUAUUAAUCGUUAUGAUAGGCCUAAAAUCAUAAUAAAGGCUGUGUACAAAAAAUCAGAUGAGCCCAGAAUAUGAAUGCAACGCGUUUAAUUAGCCUACACAUUAAGCAUUUUCCUCCAAACCAGAACGCUUGGCCUGCGGACUUGAAUGUAUUUAAAAAAUACAUAGAAUAGUUUAUAAUUGUUCCUCAUGUUUCAUCUGUAAUCUGUGUAGGCUAUAUGAGGAAAUAUGUGCAUGCCUUAUGUAGGUUUUAAUCAAUGUUUUUGCAAAAAAAAAAAAAAAAAAAAAAACAAUCUACAGCACGUUUACCAUUUUUUAAAGCUAUAUUAUAUUAUUAGACUAUUAGCCUACAUGACUUAAAACAUUGUUUUAUAGUUUGACGAUGGCCACAGGCCUACUAUCCACUUAAUAAUGCAUCAAGUUUCAGCUGAUUGUCAAAUAAUUCACUCCAUCUAUUCAAUGCUGCGUAACUCUGCGUGUUUUAAUCAAUGGGCGCACGCGCUGAACAUUCGAGCCGCAUUUGAACUGGAGCAGACAACGUUACCAUGGAAACCGGGCGGUAGCUCAACUGACAACGAUCAGCACAGCUCCAUCUCUCGCUGUUGUUUUCACUACUUUCAGUAUUGUUAGCUCCAACCCCAAUUAAUCAGACCUGAGCAGCUGACUAAACAUCACCAGAAACUCUGCAGAACACUGGCCCUGGUCUGGUCUGGAUGCCACUGUUGCUAAAGCAUUUCAAGUAAAAACUUAAGUCGUGGCUUAAUAAUCCGGGGUUGGGAUGGUGGAAGGAGCAGAAGAACCAGAAGAUCGGAGAUCAGGAAGAUAUCUGUUGGUGCCUCUGAGGGAACUGAUUUAAUGU